Molecule: long non-coding RNA, 5506 nt
Organism: Hemicordylus capensis (graceful crag lizard)
Lineage: Eukaryota; Metazoa; Chordata; Lepidosauria; Squamata; Cordylidae
Exons: 3
Source: RefSeq, a predicted model, not a curated record
GGCAAGGCAUCAGCAGCAUUUAGCAAAAUGUAUUGAAAACAAGAGGAUGAAUUAUAUAUCAGACGAACAUCUUGGUAGUAACAAAAGGGUGGUGUGUGUGAGAGAGAAUUAUGACGUUGAUUGCAGCAGCCCCACUUGGGGCAGGAGUCUUUUCUAGAAAUACAGCAAAGCAUAAUGGACAUCUAACGAAUGCAGCGUUUUCUCCAAAGGUGACUGAGGGCCCUGGAAAAAGGUUCUACUUCUUCCAGUUGACGUUGAUGCCCAGAUCCUGCAGGAGUUGUAACACAUAGUGGAUCUGAGAAAGUAACCUUUCUGUCGUCCCUGGCCAGAAACCAGUCAUCUAAAUACGGAUAAACCACAACCACAACACAAGUGUGUCACCACCACAACCAUGACCUUUGUGAAUACACACGGGGCUGUUGACAUUCCAAAAGGGAGGGCUGCAUAUUGGUUUACUGCAUCUCCCACUGUAAAUCACAGAUAUUUGCAAUGAUUCUGUUAUAUUCCUAUGUGGAAAUACGCGUCUUUCAAGUCUGACAUCGCCGCCCACUCCUCCUUGCAUAGGAAAGGCAGAAUUCCUUGCAACAUCGUCAUUCUGAACUUGCAUGCCCACACAAACCAAUUCUGUCUGUGAAGGCCCAUGACUGUCCGGAUCCCCACAAUCCCCCUUUGGGAUUUGAAAAUAUCAGGAAUAAAAUCUGGACAUCCUCUCUAUCUACUGCACUGGAACAAUUGCCCUUUCCUCCAACAACACCUGCACUUCCUCUUGUAAAAUGAGUUCCCCUUGUGUAUUUUAUUCCUGAGAAUGGUGGCAUAGUUUUGAACUCUAAAGCAUAGCCAGUCUUGAUAAUUCUGAGUACCCACUGGUCUGCUGUUAUGUGUUGCCAUGCUCGGGCAUGGCUUGCCUGUUUGAUGGGAAUGUUGGCAACUACAAAGCUGAUGUUGUAUGCUUUGGCAGAUGGAUGGUUCGAUUGUAUUGAUUACAGUGGACGGCAGAUCAGAUCAAAGAGACUGCAUGUUCCGGUUCUUAGAUGGCCUAUUAUUCUGGGCGUUGACCGAAACCGUUGUUUCUUUAGUACGGCCUGCAUUGCCAUCUAAAAUCCUUUCGCUCAUGCUGUUUAAAAGGAGCACACUGUCUCCCAUAUGGUUGGUAUCGGGAUGUCGCAGUAGAUGCUGAGGUUGUGGUGAUGAAUGUCUUCGCUGUAUAUCUUUUAAAUAACUCCAUUGUAGAGUCUGUGCUUCCACUAAAUAAGCCCUUUCCAUCAUAGGCCAAAUUUUCCAUACAGUCACCUAUGUCAUGUUGAAGGUUCAUGGAUCUUAACCAUUCAUGACACCACAAAGUCACUGCCAUAGCCAUGGCACAAGAUUCAGUCUCAUCUAAAUGUUUAAAGGUGCUGAGCUGUUGCCUAGGACAUAUGUGGUUUUCUCAUAUACUUCAGCGAAUCUGUCCUGAAAUUCCUCAGGUGUCAAUGAAGUUGAAUCCUGUAGUAAUACAUCCCACAAGUAAUGGUUAUAUCUGGCUAAGCAGACUGCAUAGUUCGCUAUUCUAAUAGCCAAACUAGAGGUGGAAUAGAUCUUCCUGCCUAUAACAUCCAUUUUUCUUCCUUCCUCAUCAGAAGGCGUAUCAUGCCAGCUAACUAAGCAAAGAGGCAUCUUUCAGAGUGGUGAUUCUCUUAUAUUUAGCAGGGGAGAGCAACUGGCCAUCUCCAACCCCAGCACAGUAUCCAUCCAGUGGCUGUUGCUGGUAUUUGCCUCAUGUUUUUUUUUUAAACUGUGAGCCCUUUGGGGACAGGGGACCAUCUUCUUGAUCGAUUAUUUAUCUUUCUAUUGAAACCGCUUUGAGAACUUUGGUUGAUGAGCGGUAUAUAAAUAUUGUAGUAGUAGUAGUAGUAGUAGUAGUAGUAGAAGGCAUACUGUGGUGUUGAUCAGACCUCGAUGUAGUUGUGCAAUCAAUUACUAAAGCUUUUGGCACUGGAUAAUACAGAAGGUAUGUGUUGUCUUCCUCCUGUAUUCUAUAUAAGCUCUCUAGCUGCUUAGACGUCGACGUGGAGGUUUGCAGCACUUUCCAAGCAGACUGCACCACUUUUGUUAUUAUGGGAAGCAUUGGAAGUGCUACUGGAUGAGAUGUUUUAGCAGCCAUCAUCACGUUAUAAACCGGUCCUUUAAAUCCACCCCUGGUUGUUUAAUGUCCAGGCCUAAAGCCUCCAUCUCUCUAAUCUAAGCAUGAUAUCCCUUCAACUCCUCUGAAGGGAAAGCUGAAGACUUUGGAGGUACAGUUGAAGGUGGAUCCAGUUCUGAGGGGUGGCUAGUUACAUCUAAAUCAUUGCUUGUGGAAUCUGCCUAUUGUGGAAUAGCCAUCAUCACCUGCCUCUAAUGGAGGGGCUACUGGUGGUACUAUUUUCUUCUACUCCUUCUUCUUCUUUGGAACUCUAGGCUGAACAGGAGAUUGUUGAGGUGGCAAAGCAGGAGCCGCUAGAGUUUUCCUUGGCUUGGAGUACUUGGUUGUGGUGCAAGAGGUUGCACAGGCUGCCUUGAAUAGUCUGGCGUAUCAGGCUGUAUUUGGCAAGCAGUUGACAUAGUAGCAGCAGCCCUAGCUAUAGUAUGUUGCGGUACCUGCCUCUCUGGGACAAUCAACAGAGGAUGCUGUAAAUUUCUCUGUGCUUUCUGCAUCUGAUAUUCAGCAUAACCAUCUGGUAAUGCAACCAUAGGAGUAUGAUGAAAUCCACAAGUAUGUGUAAUUUCCCUAUGUCCGUGUUGGCAAGGCACACCCUGCUUCCAGAGUCCCUGUGAGCUUGCAUACUGUACAGGCAACUUACAAGAUAAAGAUGAUGCAGUUGUCAUUGCUGCAUCAUUGUAGUUCAAAAACAGCUGGAGGGCCAAGGUUCCCCACCCCUGCUCUACAGUAAAGUCUAUAUAGUCUCCUCUCUCUUCCUGUUGAUUUGGUGUUAGUCGAAGGGGAUUGUGCUGGUGUCUGCACAGGGGACAGCUGAAGUACUCUUCUUGGUGGUACUGCUGCAAAAGGAGAAUGUGGCAACGCUGUUGAUGUUGUGGUCGAUAGCAAAUGUGCCAUCGAUACUGAUGUCCACAUUGAGACCUGUAGCUGUGCACUCUGUUCCAUUGGUAUUGAUGUCAACAUUGUGGCUGCUUUCAGCAGCAAUGCUCUUGAUAUCAACACAAAAGGCUGUUCUCUCGAUGUCGAUAGCCCAGCUGCCGAUGUUGUAGGCAGGCUAUAGUCCUGUAAUGCAGUCAGCGAAGGAGUGGUUUCCUUUGACUUCAUUUUGCUUCGAUGUUUCUUUAGUGACAGAGAAUCCCUUUCCUCAUCUGAGGAGCGUCACCAUUUCUUAUUCUUAUGCUGAUAAGCUGGCUUUUGGACUUCCUUUGGCCAUUUGAAUUCUGGCUCUGAUCCUUCCACAGUGGUUUUAGACAGCAUAUUUGCAGAUCCCUGCAUGCUCAGUGCUGAGCCUGGCAACACUCCCGCUCUCAAUGUCGAUGCCAAGAUCGAUGCUGAAACCAAUGCCAAGGGAUAACUUGGCCUCGGUUUUGGUGGAUGGAGCGCCUCAUCAUAUAAUGCUGCGGCUAUACAUAGCGCCUAAUUCUUUAAAGUUUGUUUUGAAAAGGAGCAGCCUAUUUUGAACACUGCUGUAUUGUGCUGCUCUCCUAAGCACAGGAGACAUGAUUCAUGGUGGUCCGUCGACGGUAGUUUAGCUCGACAAGCGCUUGAAAGUCUUUUUAGUCUCCAUUGUCGGCUAAGGUGCACCCCAAGGCUAAAGCCUCGUGGCUCCAAACACAAUAAAAUCCAAAAUACCGUAUCCAGUACGUUAAACAUUAGAAUAGUCAAAAAUAGUCCCAGUCCAAAAAGAGUUAAAAAAUCAAUCCUAUCUUAUAUCUCUCUCUGACGAAUUUAGAUGCACUGAGGAGCCAGCAACAAGGUGUUGAUGAUUUGGCAGUCAAAUAGAAACUGAGAAAAUGUGCCCGCAACUGCCAAUUUCAACAGAAGCACAGAGCACAUACAGGGCAGAGUGGGCGUCAUGAGGAGCUAGUCAGUCUAUCUGUGAGGUCCCUGAGCAGGUGCAGAACCCAUUCCUUAUGAAUGCAACAGAUCACCAGAUCCUGAAGAAAUCUUCAAAAUAUAUAAAUAUUUUAUAGAUACAUAGGGUCACACAGGAAAGAAAGAAGUGCUACUCCAGUCUUUACAAUUAGCUCACCUCAUAGCCCAGUAGGUAAGAGGCCUGAGCAUAUAACUCAUGAGCAAUACCAUAUUGGGGUUGGGGGUGGGAGGCACUGCUUUCCAGUGGUUCCGCUCCUACCUCAAGGGCAGAUUCCAGAUGGUGUCUCUUGGAGACUGUUGUUCUUCAAAAUCUGAACUUUUGUAUGGUGUCCCUCAGGGCUCCAUAUUGUCUCUGAUGAAGUUUAAUAUCUACAUGAAACCACUGGGAAAGAUAAUCAGGGGAUUUGGUGCAGGGUGAUAUCAAUAUGCUGAUAACACCCAAAUCUAUUUCUCCAUGUCAACAUUAUCUGGAGAAGGCAUAACCCUCCCUAAACGCCUGCCUGGAGGCAGUAAUGGGCUGGAUGAGGGAUAACAAACUCAGGCUGAAUCCAGAUAAGAUGGAGGUACUUAUCGUGCGGGGUCAAAACUCAGGAGAUGAUUUUGAUCUGCCAGUUCUGGAUGGGGUCAUGCCCCGCCAGAAGGAACAGGUAUGCAGUCUGGGGCUGCUUCUGGAUCCGAACCUCUACCUUGUGUCCCAGGUUGCGGCGGUGGCCAAAGGUGCUUUUUAUCAGCUCCGGCUGAUACGCCAGCUGUGUUCAUUUCUUGAGAUGAACGACCUCAAAACAGUGCUACAUCUGCUGGUAACCUCUAAGCUGGAUUACUGCAAUGCGCUCUGUGUGAGGCUACCUUUGCACAUAGUCUGGAAACUGCAGUUGGUUCAGAACACAGCAGCCAGGUUGGUUUCUGGGUCAUCUAGGAGAGACCAUAUUACUCCUGUGUUGAAGGAAUUGCACUGGCUACCGAUACGUUUCUGGGCAAAAUACAAGGUGCUGGUCAUUACCUAUAAAGCCCUAAACAGCUUAGUCCCUGUGUAUUUAAGCGAACGUCUUCUUCGCCAUGAGCCCCACCGCCUGCUAUGAUCAUCUGGAGAGGUUCGCCUGCGGCUGCUGCCAACUCAUCUGGCAGCUACUUGGGAACGGGCCUUCUCCACUGCAGCCCCUGGACUUUGGAAUGCGCUUCCUGCUGAAAUAAGAGCCUCCCCAUCUCUGGCAACUUUUAAAAAGGCACUGAAGACACAUGUAUUCGCCCAGGCUUUUAAUUAGAUUUAUAAUUUUAAAUAAUUUUAAUACUGGGUUUUAUAUGUUUUUAAUCUUUUAAAUGGUUUUAAUUGUUAAUUGAUUUUAUGUUAAAUGAUUUUAAAUUGUAAAGUGCCCAGACAUGCAAGUUUUGGGCGGUAUAGAAAUAUUUUAAAUAAAUAAAUGAAUGAAUGAAUGAAUGAAUAAAUAAAUAAAUAAAAUG